CCUACGGGCGGCAGCAGUGAGGAAUAUUGGUCAAUGGACGAGAGUCUGAACCAGCCAAGUAGCGUGAAGGAUGACUGCCCUCUGGGUUGUAAACUUCUUUUAUAUGGGAAUAAAAUGUUCCACGUGUGGGAUUUUGUAUGUACCAUAUGAAUAAGGAUCGGCUAACUCCGUGCCAGCAGCCGCGGUAAUACGGAGGAUCCGAGCGUUAUCCGGAUUUAUUGGGUUUAAAGGGAGCGUAUGUGGAUUGUUAAGUCAGUUGUGAAAGUUUGCGGCUCAACCGUAAAAUUGAAGUUGAAACUGGCAGUCUUGAGUACAGUAGAGGUGGGCGGAAUUCUUGGUGUAGCGGUGAAAUGCUUAGAUAUCACGAAGAACUCCGAUUGCGAAGGCAGUUCACUGGACUGCAAUUGACGCUGAGGCUCGAAAGUGUGGGUAUCAAACAGGAUUAGAUACCCGAGUAGUC
RNAcentral lists this ribosomal RNA (460 nucleotides) under uncultured bacterium. RNAcentral's name for it is "partial 16S ribosomal RNA". It matches the Rfam family "Bacterial small subunit ribosomal RNA", at positions 338 to 795 of the family's 1533-position model. The record is from RNAcentral.